Molecule: ribosomal RNA, 314 nt
Filed under: Bacillus amyloliquefaciens
Lineage: Bacteria; Bacillati; Bacillota; Bacilli; Caryophanales; Bacillaceae
Also listed under: 2 other names
Description: bacterial SSU rRNA
Rfam family: Bacterial small subunit ribosomal RNA
Source: RNAcentral
UUAUCGGAGAGUUUGAUCCUGGCUCAGGACGAACGCUGGCGGCGUGCCUAAUACAUGCAAGUCGAGCGGACAGAUGGGAGUUUGCUCCCUGAUGUUAGCGGCGGACGGGUGAGUAACACGUGGGUAACCUGCCUGUAAGACUGGGAUAACUCCGGGAAACCGGGGCUAAUACCGGAUGGUUGUCUGGACCGCAUGGUUCAGACAUAAAAGGUGGCUUCGGCUACCACUUACAGAUGGACCCGCGGCGCAUUAGCUAGUUGGUGAGGUAACGGCUCACCAAGGCGACGAUGCGUAGCCGACCUGAGAGGGUGAUC